Sarcophilus harrisii (Tasmanian devil) is the source of this 1739-nucleotide long non-coding RNA. RefSeq lists it as uncharacterized. The transcript has 3 exons. NCBI's taxonomy places the organism in Eukaryota, Metazoa, Chordata, Mammalia, Dasyuromorphia, Dasyuridae. The record is from RefSeq and is a predicted model, not a curated record.
UAAUUCAAUAUAUGUUAAACAUGUCCACCAUAGAAUAUUCCAGGACAAGAAAAAUACCUCAAAAUUGCUGAAUUAGUGGCUUUUUAUCGGUUCUCCUUCAUUUAACCUUUUUUUUUCAUCAUUUCUCUUGGUCUUCCCAUCUGGAACACUCUCUCCUACGUAACACAGUUCUCUUGUUUUUCUAGGUAUAUUUUCUGACCACUCACUCCUCAGCUUCUUUGACUGGUCCAUUUGACUGGAUGAGCAAUUGCCAUUGCUCAGUAAGUGUAGUCAUCUCCAAAGCCUCUUAUGGCCCACUCUCCUGUGGAGAUCUCACCUACUCCACUGACUCCAAUGAUCAUCUCUAUGCAGAUGCCUCCAAAGGCUCUUCAUCCAGUUCCUGAGCCCUGCCCAGGGCCCGCUGCUGAACAUCUCUGCUGAAAAUCUUGCCAGCACUGCAAACUUACCACAUUCAAACUCCAGUAACUUCUUAACAGCAACCUUGUACAGGUCAGAGCCAAGAAAAGCUUGAGUUUGAAUCCCUCCUCUGAUACUACUUAAGUGUCACAACCACUAAGAAUCUCAAUAUUCUCACUGCUAAAAUGGAGAUAAUGUCUUAUAGACCCCUCUAUAGAAUUGUAGAAAUCAAAGAACAUAAUGUAGGCAAAGCACUUCUUCAAUCUUAAAGCACCAUAGAUGUGCUAUUAUUAUUAUUCCCACAAACCUGCCCUCCCUCCCAAUUUUCCUCUUUAAAAAUUGUUAGAUUUUUAAAAAAUUUUUUCUGCGGCUGUUUAUGUACAGUCAGAUAAUUAACUGAUUAGAACAAAGGGCAAAACCAAACAAUACCACAUUAGAAAAUAGGAUAAAGAUGAAAACAAGACUCUACACAAUAUCUUUCACUUCCCUUAUUUAAAUAAACUAUUGAUGUUGGAAAAUGGGAAAUGGAUAAAAGCAAAGACAGUGUUUCUAAUUAUCACCAUUCCUUACAAGAAUGUAACAGAUAUAAAACAGUUGCCACUACAAGGACACAAGAACUAAGGCAAUAAACAUAACCACUUUUGAAAAGCUGAGAGAAAUGGCAGCUAAGGAUAAUACCAGCUUAGAAUAUAAAGUCAUUUUCAAGACAUUAUGGAGGAGCAUGAAAGAAGAGCUGAAGACCUAGGCAGUUGGAGUGAUUCCGAAUUGGAGUUCCUCAAAGAACCUUUGGUCAUUGUAGACCACUUCUGAAGAUUUCAGUGCACUAGAACUUUUCCCCAUGGAAUUAAAUGACAACAUCUACAAGUAAACAAAAAUCUGCCCUCUCUUCUACUCACCCCAGUUGAGAAUGAAAAUUUCUCCAUUGUCCCUGUCCAAAAGAAAAAAAAUAUGUUGGGAGAAAGACAGAGAUCUACAGACAGAAAUUUCUCAAUCUGUACUCUAAUUAUCAGGAGGUAAGUAGCAUGUUUCAUUGUUAGUCUUCUGGAAUUGUGGUUGGUCAUUAUAUUGAUCAGAAUUCCUAAGUCUUUAAUAGUUUUUGUCUUGACGAUAAUGUAAAUUGUUCUCCUUGUUCUGUUCACUUUAUUCUUCACACUUCACUUCAUACAAUAGCACAAUAGCGUUCUACUUUAACUUGUUCAUUCCCCAGUUCAUGGGCACCUCCCCAGAUUCCUGUUCUUUGCCACUGCAAACAAAGCUGUAAAUAUUUUUGUACAUCCUUAGAGUUUGUUUUGCUUAGUACUAAUCCCUCCCUUAAUUUGUCCCCCCUCUAUUUUCCUUUCUCU